UCUUUGUUAAGAUGGUUUCC
This 20-nucleotide non-coding RNA is filed under the name Rattus norvegicus (Norway rat). Lineage: Eukaryota; Metazoa; Chordata; Mammalia; Rodentia; Muridae. The record is from RNAcentral.